GGACCAUUAGCUCAGUUGGUAGAGCACCUGACUCUUAAUCAGGGUGUCCUGGGUUCGAGCCCCCGAUGGUCCA
This is a transfer RNA of Fervidicella metallireducens AeB, 73 nucleotides long. It matches the Rfam family "tRNA". Rfam says of the family: Transfer RNA (tRNA) molecules are approximately 80 nucleotides in length. NCBI's taxonomy places the organism in Bacteria, Bacillati, Bacillota, Clostridia, Eubacteriales, Clostridiaceae. The record is from Rfam.